This 1414-nucleotide long non-coding RNA is filed under the name Gallus gallus (chicken). RNAcentral describes it as "long non-coding RNA NONGGAT008952". Lineage: Eukaryota; Metazoa; Chordata; Aves; Galliformes; Phasianidae. The record is from RNAcentral.
AUUUCUUAUUGCUCUAAUGCUCAUACUAAAAAGUCUGAUUCUCUUGAAAUCCUGUUUGCUCUUUGCAUAUUUAUUGGCUCUUUGCAUAUAUUAGACAACAUGCAAUACAGUCUGUCUUGCCAUUGUCUGUUGAAGUGCAGGUUUGAUCCAGCCAGUAUAGAACUAGCUCUGUAGGGGUGAGGAGGACUGUGCUGUGUAUCAUCCUUGAUUGUUCCUUCAAGGAGCAUUGCACUUGCCUUCCCAGACCUUCCACCUUAGGUUCUGCUGCAAAAAAGCAACAGGUAAGCACAACCUAAGGAAGUAUAUAAAUUUAAAUAUUUCAGUACAUUAAUGUUGUCCCUGUGAGAUCUUUGUGGUUGUGUAUUGAAAAGCAAUCUUCUGCUUUCCCAAAUGCAUUGUUACUCACGGUUCCAUUUCAGUGGAAAGUCUUUUUAAGUUUUUAAACAACUGUUUAUAUUUCUAGGUAAAUAUGUAUCGUUUUUUUCUUAAGAAAAGAUGAGUAGACUGCAGUAGUUGAAGUCAAGCAGAAUAAGUAGUCAUUUUUGUUCUUUUUCCUCAAAUAGCUACUUGUUGCAAUUAGAGAAUCAAAACCUUGAAAAUAUGCAGGAAUUACUUGUGAUAGAAAUGUCAACAGCCUUCACAAAUGUUUUUUCUAGUAGGGCACUGUUCUCACUCAAUCCAUAAGACGUAAAUACAAAGAAUAUAAGUUCUUGUUGCCGCUGAACUUGAUGACUUGUCUUACAGUUACAGUGUGUUAGUGGCAUUUUGAGAUAACUCAGUUUGCUAAUUCAUACUUGACGUGGUAGGAAAAUAGAAUCUGGAGUUUCACAGAUUAGUAUGUUUUACUUGGAAAAGCAUGUGCACCAAUUAAAUGUUAACGAUACAGCAAAUAAUAUUUUAUCCAUAUAUCAGUCAGUGUAUCUUGUUUCUUGCUACUUUAACUGAAUUGCUGUAUAUUUUGAUAGUUUAAAAUGUUUGUAUGUCUUAUAGAUGGUCUGGUACAGGUUUUUCUUUUUUUAGCUUAAAGUAAAGCAGCAUCUGUUUGUUUUUUUGUUGUUGAUUAUUCUGUUUCUGAAAUGUGCUGCUCCUCUUUCAAAAGUCCUGCUUAUCUGUACAUUCAAGAAAAAUAUUCAAAAAUACUGCCUUCAUUUUCACACACAGUGCUGAAGAUGCUGCAAGCACCAAAUCAUAGCUCAUAGAAUCAGGUCCUGAGAUAGUUACUACCAGUAAAGAGGAAUCCUUUGAGUGUAUGCCAUUGGUGAGCCGAUGAGCAUGGACCAUAGAAGGGCUCCAUGUAGAAGGUAAAAUUGGCAAAAGCAUAACAGAUUUGAAAUGUAUCCCAUGGUGUAGGGUAUAAUUUUGUUUUGAUCACUUCUCAUUCUUGAAAGUAUUAUUUGUUUGACCAUAAAUGUUC